UCCAGACUCCUACGGGAGGCAGCAGUGAGGAAUAUUGGUCAAUGGGCGGGAGCCUGAACCAGCCAUGCCGCGUGAAGGCGAGUGCCCUACGGGCGUUAAACUUCUUUUGUGCGGGAGCAAUAAGGGCCACGUGUGGCCCGAUGAGAGUACCGCACGAAUAAGCAUCGGCUAACUCCGUGCCAGCAGCCGCGGUAAUACGGGGGAUGCGAGCGUUAUCCGGAUUUAUUGGGUUUAAAGGGUGCGUAGGCGGAUUUUUAAGUCAGCGGUAAAAUGUCCGGGCUCAACCCGGGCCGGCCGUUGAAACUGGGGAUCUUGAGUGGGCGAGAAGUAUGCGGAAUGCGUGGUGUAGCGGUGAAAUGCAUAGAUAUCACGCAGAACUCCGAUUGCGAAGGCAGCAUACCGGCGCCCGACUGACGCUGAGGCACGAAAGCGUGGGGAUCGAACAGGAUUAGAUACCCCAGUA
RNAcentral lists this ribosomal RNA (463 nucleotides) under uncultured bacterium. RNAcentral's name for it is "bacterial SSU rRNA". It matches the Rfam family "Bacterial small subunit ribosomal RNA", at positions 330 to 792 of the family's 1533-position model. The record is from RNAcentral.